CUGCACCACAUAUCACUUCCACCUCCUCCGUCUCCUACUCUCCAUUACCCAUCCCCCCUUCCACCCUCCAUUCCAAUCAUCACCAUCCACAUCCACAACUCUCUGCACGCCAAAAUGUAAUUCUCCAAUAAAUAUAACCAUAGCACCACCUCGUCCCUAAAUCUGUUCAGAAUCUAGUGAUUACCGUAUCUCUCUCCAUGGUGCACAUCUUAACCAUGUAGUCUCCACUACUUUACUACACAACAGAGUUCUGAAAAAAUCAAGUGGUAUCGGACAUUCCAAUUCCUACGCAACCAAAAUAAACACAGAAGACCGCCUCCUACCCACUGCUUCCUCUAACUCUCGGCCCUCCCCCUCCUCCCCUACCCCUUCUCCUACACCACACCUACUGGCAGGUCACUCCAUUCCCAUCCGACCACUCGAUCGGCUCCUCGCCGCCUGUGGCUCCACAUUUCUGGACCAUGGUCAUGCAGCCAAAAUCCUGCCGCCUUUACUUUAACACUAGGUCGACACGCCUGCGCCCAUCCCAACACAAUCCCAUCGUCAGCCCCGCAACACAAAUCCCGCCACAAAUCACCCUCCCACCACCACUUCCUUCACGCAUCGCACGCACCUACUACCCGCCCCACAUCUCUACCCAUCAUGCGCUACCUCGACACCGCUCUUACCACUACUCUCCACCAUCUAAGCACCCCCUCCCCUCCCCCCGCACCCUCCGACCCCCCAUCAACAUCCAUGCUGGUAAUAUUUGCGANNNNNNNNNNNNNNNNNNNNNNNNNNNNNNNNNNNNNNNNNNNNNNNNNNNNNNNNNNNNNNNNNNNNNNNNNNNNNNNNNNNNNNNNNNNNNNNNNNNNCGCCUCGCCCCACCGGCGUCGGCCCGUACCGGCUGUCCCCGCGCCCCCCGUAUCCGCUCCCUCCUCCCGGACUCCCACCCCCGUAUCCUCCCUGGCUGUACCCCGAUCCGUAGUUGCCCCCGCCGCGACCGCCUCCGCCGAACCCCCCGCCAGCCCGCCCCGACCCCGCCGACAGCUCCUUCGGAAUCGCCUUCUUCACCUCCACCAUCUUGUCGUUCAGCUCGUGGAACGACUUCUGGAUCACGUUCUCAACUGCAUCCUCAGAAUCAAAAGUGAUGAAGCCAAACCCCCGAGGCCUUUGCGUAUUGUGGUCAUACAUAACAACCACGUCUGUAAUAGUACCAAACUGCUCGAAAUACUUUUUGAAGUCAUCCUCUGUAACUGUCGAGGCUAAGCCCCCCACAAAUAUCUUCUUUGUCCUAGUGUGGGAUGUUGCAGGCCCUUGGCCACCCACGCUGUUGCUCCUAGGUAUACUCUGCUGUUCGUCUCUCGGCACAGCUUUUUUCGCUUCCACCUAGAAUGGGAAAAAAAAAUAUUUAACAAAGACACGCUACACAAAGUUAUACAACUGCCACACAACCUCAUGCCACCAACCACCAUCACCACACGCACUCCCGCAUGCCACCCCCCUCCCAUGCAUUCAACUCCACCUCGAUCCCCCUUCGCCCGACACCUACCGCCCCCCUCCCUCCCUCCCACCCUCGCGCCCUACCGCACUGACCUCACCACGCCACCGGCCCUCCCCUCCCCUCCCCGAGUCCAAGACAGAGCGCUUACCGUUCUUCCGUCGAUGGUGUGCUUCUCGCCGGCCACCCGAUCGGCCACGCUCGGGUCCGCGAAUAUCACGAACCCGAACCCCCGCGCGCGCCCCGUCGCGCGGUCCUUCAUGAUCACCGUCUCCGCCACCUCGCCAUAGCUCUUGAAGUAAUCGCGCAGCUUCUCCUCCGUCGUCUCCCAAGAGAUGCCGCCGAUGAACAGCUUGCCCUGAUCGGAGUCCAUGGCCGCCGACCCGUCCUGGUCCGCCAGACUUCCCGCCCUCCUAACUCCCGCUGAAAUGAUCAGAAAAAUCGGACUCCACAAAACCCAUAUGCCCCUCGCAUACACAGAGGCUCAAAUACCCUUACGACAAGAUCAAAACAAGAGCAGCGGCAUCGACAAUUCCCAUGCAACGCGCGAACCAACAGGCCGCGGCGUAGCAGGGGAGGGAGGGAGCGGACGCGAGAGCCUAGGGUUAGCAGGAGACUGGAGCUCCGAGGAGCACUGAUUCAAAGACGGGGAGAGGGAGGGGCAGCCAAGAAGGCAAGAGUCGCGACGGGAAGGGAAGGGGAGGGAAGGCCAGUCCCCCCCCCCCUGGCUUGGGUUUCGCGAACGUCGGGAUCGCAUGAAGAUUUGGGCAGGUUCAUUCAUUGAUUACCAUUUCCUCUUACGGGGCAUUCACGCAAUUCUUUGUGCUCUCGGGGCAAUUGUGAAGCACAAUCGCCCUUGAUCACGAAUUUCGCUCUGUCUGUCUAGUUAUGUUCUUUCUGGUAUUCCUUUUUGGGUGUUGGAGAGUAACGGCAUUUUGCAAAAAAAUUCAACAUUCAUAACAUUUCAUGGAACCAUUGUGGGUUUGCUUUUAUUAUAACUAGAGGAAUAAUAUCUUUAUUUCUUUGUCUACCAAGCUUAUUAAAUUACAAAGGAAUCACUAUAUAUAUAUAUAUAUAUAUAUAUCUCCAUUAAUUUUAUGUAUCAAAUAAAUUUAAACAAAGUAUUUUUGUAAAAAAUUAUACAAUUUUCUACAAUAUAGAUGGUAUGAUCAUUAAUGGAUUUUUUUCUUUAAAGAUUACAAAUGUUCAAAUUACAUUUUAAUUUUAAAAAAUAAUAUGUAUAUUAAAAUUAAGAUUUUUUAUUUUUAUUUUUUUAAUAUAUAUUUAAGUCUUUUAUAUUAUUUUCAUUAUGAAAAUAUAUAUUAAAUAUCAACAUAUGUUAUUAAAUUUUUGUAAAGAAGAAAUUUAAUAUAGUCAUUUUUGUAUAAAUGUCACAAACAUACAUAUUUAUUCUAAUAAUUACUUAUAUGAUUAAGUAGAAAUAAGUAAAUAUAGAUUAAUUUCAUAAUAUCUUCUAGAAAAGCUUCUUAGAAGCAUCAUAGAUAUGGUUUUGACUUUACAUGUGUUUGUAGUUAAUAGGUAGGUUAGAAAUUUUGUCAACAAGUUAACCACAAGCUAUAUAUACUGGUAGCUUAUGAAACAAGCUUAUUAUAUGGCACACAUAUAGAAAACUUACUUUGUAAGACAUAUGUCUAGCAAAGUCAAUACACAUUGGAGGACUUAUAGAACAUCGUGACAUAACUCUUAGUUAGAUAGUAUAUGUGGAGGUAAGAGUGAAGUCUUGCUUUACUCAUGUCAAAGCCUUUUUAGUUCUUUGUCCUAUUUUUAGACUUUUUAAUCUACUUGUCUUUAGCAAUAGCCAUUCUAGUUCAAUAUAUUACCAUCUUUGAGUGAUUUCCUAGUCUUUUCAAGUAGUACAAGAAUGUAUUGAGAUUCUCUUUCUUUGAGGUUCAUAUUCUUGAUAAUUUGAUAAAAGUGUUAACUUAUUAUUCUUGUCUUGUUUUAGAAAUGAGUAGUUUAUCCGACUUUUAUUAUUGUAUUUAAAAAAUUGUACCUAUAAACAAACCGUUUAGUUUUUUAAUAUUGAUUUUUUUCUUAAAAAAAGUAAUUUUUUUUUAUGGAAUUUUUUAUUUGAUAUUAAAGGUUGCAGAUUACCUUCUUCUAAUUUAACUUUUUGAAUUUGUUUGAGUUAUCUAUAAAAGAAAAAGAUUAUAGAUACAACUAUCAAUAAAAUUGAGAAUAGAUGUGUAUCAUGGACAUAUAUAUUCAUUCUAAUAUUUACUUAUAUGAUUAAGUAAAAAUAGAUAAAAGUAGAAUUAUUUCAUAAUAUUUUUUAGAAAAAGCUUCGUAGAAGCUUAAUGGAUGUUAUUUUCACUUUACAUAGGUUUGUAGUUGAUUGAUAGGUUAGAAACUUGGUCAAUAAGUUAACCUCAUGUUGGUAGCUUCAAAAAUAAGCUAAUUAUGUGGUCCACAUAUAGAAAACUUACCUUGCAAGUUAAGAUACAUAUCUUGCAAAGUUAAUACAUUUUGGAGGUCUUGUAGGACAUUGCCACAUAGCUCUUAGUUAAGAAUAUGUAUGGAAGCAAAAAUAAAGCCUUCUUCACUCUUAUCAAUGCCUUUCUAGUCUUUAGUCUUGUUUCAAGACUUUCUAGUCUUUUUAUCUUUGGCAAUAACCAUUCUAAUUUAAUACUAUAUCAUCUUUGAAUGACUUUCUAAUUCUUUUGAGUGAUAUAAGAGUGUAUUUAAGAUUUCUUUAUUUGAGAUUCAUAUCCUUGAUAGUUUAGCAAGAAUUCUAACUCAUUAUUCUUAUUUUUUUAGAAGUGAGUGGAAUAUCUCACUUCUACUAUUGUAUAUUAAAGGUUGCAGAUUAUCCACCUAUAAAUAAACAAUUUGAUUUUUUAAUACUAAUUUUUUCCUUAAAAAGAGCAGAUUAUCUUUCUUUAUGGAAAUUUUCAUUUUAUAUUAGAGAUUGUAAAUUACCUUCUUCUAAUUUAAUUUUUUAGAUUUAUUAAAUUAUUUAAAAUAGAAGGAAAAAUUAUAAAUGUCAUACUUAGCAGAAGUGAGAAUAUAUUUACAAAUAUUAUACAUCUUCACAAAUUUGUCAAUAUUCUUAGCAUGAAAAUUUUACACAUCACUAGUGCCAACCAAAGAAACAUUAAUCCUAUAUCUAUAAAAGAAGUUCAAAGUCUACAAUAAGAAGUUGUAUAGUUGAAAAAAAUAAGUAAAUUGACCUCACAACCAAGUCUAGAAAGUUUUGUUUCUAUAAGUGCAAUAAAGUCAAGGAUUAGUAUGCUCGAAAAGUUUGAUGGAAUAAGAUCAAAAUUUCACGGAUUUUUGCAAUAAAUCAAGCUCUAUCUAAGGUUGCAUUUCUUCUAAUACCUUAAUGGAUUUAUUCAAGUUGGAUUUAUAGACUCAUUUUUAUUUGGAAGUGCUUUCUUUUGCUUUACACCUUUGAUGAAAAAAGAUUUACAACUCCUUUAUGAUUUCAAUUCAUUCCUAGAAAUGUUUAUCGCCACAUUCAAAGAGAAUAAUUGAGAAAGAGUAGUAGAGACCAAGCUCUUAUUUUUAUGAUAAGAAUAAUAAUUAGCCACUAUAUAUGCUAUUUAAUUCCAAAACCUUGCAUACAACAUGGAUUGGAAUAAUAAAGCCUUUAUUAAUUGAUUUUGAUAUAGAUUGAAGUAAAAUGUCAAAAUUUUGUUAUUAACAAUAUCAAAAAUAAAAUCUUUGGAACAAUUUAUUGCUCAAGCCAUUGCAUAUGACAAUCAAAUAUUUGAAGGGCAUUAAGAAUAAAGAUUUGGUUGGAGAGGAAUAAAUCAAGUACUAACAACAGCUCCUAAGUUUUUUGAAACUUAUUCAUUAAGGCCAAAAUCAAUACAAAUUGAUAAGAUACAUUUUAAAUCUCUUAUUAAACAAAAACAAGACUUGUAGUUGUCAAGAAGGUUUGUAGCUAUAUUAUCAAGCAUACUAUUCAAUAUUAUCAAAAAAAACAACACAAUCAUAAAAUAAAGAGUAUGGUUGCCAAAGAAGAUGAUGUAUCAAAAAAUAAGUUUUUCCAACUAUAAUAAAGACCAUGUGGUUAGAAUCUUACACAAUUGUUAAUAAAUAUCCUAUUCUCUAUUUAAAUUCCUCACUUUAUUUUAAAAUAAAAGUAUUUUUAGGACCAUAAAAUCACAAAGUCUUAACCUUAUUAGAUUUUAGAAUCUUAUCAUGUUCUAUAAAUAAAGACUUUGUCAAAAAAUAAGAUAUAUCUUUAAUUAAGAAAAUCAAACCUAUACAUCUAGAAAUAAUAGAUGGUCGUUCAUUAUCUUUUAGAAAUACUACACAUAAAAUUAUUCCUAUAAAAGUAGCAACUAGUAUUUAUAAUAGUUUAAUAAUAUUUAAUGUCAUUAAAUUUUAUUUUAAUCUAAUUAUUUUAAGAUUAUCAUGAUUAGAUAGGUAUAAUUCUUAGAUAGAUUAAAUUUUUUGGGAUCUUGAUUUUUUCCAAAGUUUAGUUCAAGGUUCUACUAGGCAAGUAAAAAUCCAUAAGAUCAUUGCAUCCAAAUCAUUAUUUCUGAGUGCAAGAACUUUUAUACAUGCUGCAAAAAAAGGUUCAACUUUUGUUAUAUAUACCACACCUAUUUUUGACGGAAAAAAGAUUUUAAGUAGCAUUCCAAGCCAAUAUCAAGAUUAUUAAGAUAUCUUUUAAAAAAAAAAUGUAAAUAUUUUUUCAAAGCAUUAUUCUUAUGACUGUUCUAUUGAUCUUCAAGAAUGAGCUUAACCACCAUUUGAACCAAUCUAUAGCCUAUCAUAGAAUAAAUUAGUUUUGUUUAAGGAAUAUAUUCAUAAAAAUUUGGCUAAGAACUUCAUAUGCUAUUCUAAAUCUCCAAUUAAGUCUUCUAUCUUAUUUAUGAAGAAAAAAGAUAGAUCUCAAUAAAUGUGCAUGGACUAUCAAGGACUCAACAAGAUUACUAUAAAAAAAAUCCUCUAUUCUUGAUUUUAAGACUUCUUAAUUAACUAAAUUAAGCAAAGAUUUAUACAAAAUAGAUUUAUAUGGGGCAUAUAAUCUUGUAUGUAUUAAAAAAAGAGAUAAAUAGAAAAUUAUAUUUUGAAUAGAAUGUCAUAUCUUUUGGAUUCACAAAUGCACUAGUGUCAAGGACAAGAACUCAAUGAAAGCUAAAGAGUAAGUGAGACUUUUCUCAAAAAGAAAUAGGACAAAAUAGAAAUAUGUAUAUUAAGAAAGAAACUGGAAUGGCUAUUGCCAAAAUACAAGAAAACUAGAGACCCUUGAAACUAGACUAGAAGCAAGAAAGGAGUUGACAAGAGUGAAGAGGGCUUCACUCUUGCCUCUAUAUAUACUAUCUAACUAGAAGCCACGUGGCGAUGUUCUAUAAGACCUCCAAUAUAUGUUGACUUUCUAGGCCACAUGCCUUUGCUUGCAAGGCAAGUUUUCUAUGGAUGGACGACGUAGUUAGCUUGUUCUUUAAGCUUCCAACAUGUGUGGCACAUGGCUAACUUGUUGACCAAGUUUCUAACCUAAAAGUCAACUAUAGACUCCUAUAAAGUCAAAGCAGAGUCUAUGAAGCUUCUAAGAAGCUUCUCUAGAAGAUAUUAUACAAUUAACCUACUUUUAUCUACUUUUACAUACUUUUAUCUAUUCAUAUAGGUAAUUAUAUGUAUGUCCGUGACAUUACCCCCCCUUCUAGGGACGAGUUCCACGAGGAGCGGUGAUUAUAUAUUGAGAAAAUCUAAUAUGCGACGAAUUGUAUUUGCUACAUACUCUGAUCUUUGUUCUCUUCGAAGAUAGUUGAUGGGUCCUCUUAGCCAUCGAUAGUGUCCCAUUCCAGGGCGAGAAGACCACCCUGUUAUUUGAUCACUGUUGAGGCCUUCAUAACUUCCUUCAAAUAAUACAUUUGAAACACCAUCAGGAGUCGUUUCUAUCUCCAAUAAAAUCACCAAACAUCGAAAAUCUCUUCCAAGGUCGUGAUACCAAACGCGUUGUAUCUCACCAUCUAUUCGAGGAAGAACAUGUCGUUCUUGAGGGUCUUCAUCUCGGUUGCGUCGUCUUGAAGGUUGUGACAAUCGCAAUGUCUCAUCCGGUAAGUCAGCAAACGAAGGUUCUUGAGUUGAAUCCGCUUGUUGUUGGCUCUCCAUCUAAUUAGCGUCACAAAAUGCAAAGAAGUUACAAACAAGGAUAGGAAAUUGAAUGUUAUCUUGCCUCAAUCUUGUCUCUUUUAUAAGAGAGGUUUUCAUCUUGGUUUUGAUGGAUGUCGUUGAUGAAAAACUUUGACUUUAGUUGAUGCAUUUGCUAGAUUCCUGGAUGGCUCCCAUGUGCGCUCACUAAUAUCAUAUCCGCACCAAUGAACAAGAUAUUCCAGCUUAUUUCGGCGUCGCCUUGAGUCUAAUAUCUCUUCCACCUCAAAUUCUUCAUUAUUAUCUACUUCUAUAGGAGGCGGUGGCAUUUGUCUUCUUCCUUGUAUAUCCACUGUCUUAUAUGGUUCAAGAAGAGACACGUGGAAUACAGGAUGGAUCUUCAUUGACUCCGGUAGAUGUAACCGAUAUGCAACUGGGUUGAUCUGUUCAGAAACAAAAAAGGGGCCAAGCCUACGAUAGUCCAAUUUGUCACAAGGUCGAGUGGUCUUGAUAUUGCGACGAAGUAGCCAUACCUUAUCACCCACGUUGAGUUGUGGUUGCUCUUUACGAUAUACAUCUGCAUUUAUCUUUUGUCGUUCUUGAGCUUUCUUCAACUGCGCCUUCAUUAUUGCAUGUAACUCUGACAACCGAUUUGCCAUAUCUUCUGCUGCAGGAUUAUCAACUUUUGAAAAAUCAAAAGUAUCAAGUCGUGGAUGAUAGCCAUAAUUGGCAAAGAAAGGUGUUUGUUGCGUGGAGGAAUGUACCGUAUUAUUAUAAGCAAACUCUGCCAAUGGCAGAAGGUUUGUCCAAUCAUCUUGUUGGUAGUUGAUGGUACACCUUAAAUAUUGCUCCAAGACUUGGUUUACGCGCUCUGUUUGUCCAUCAGUUUGAGGAUGGAAAGCUGAAGAUAGCUUUAUGUCCACUUUUAAAAUCUUGAAAAGAGUCCUCCAGAAUCUCGACACAAAUUGAGUUCCCCUAUCCGAUAUGAUAUCUUUAGGUAAUCCAUGAUAGCGAUAGAUAUUAUCAAUGAAAAGCUUAGCUGUUUCUUCACCUGUGAUAGAUUUUGUACAUGGCAUAAAAUGUGCCAUCUUGGUGAAACGAUCUACUAUCACAAAUAUAGAAUCAUAAGAUCUUGAGUUUGGAAGAUCUGUGAUGAAAUCCAUAGAAACAGAAGACCAUGGUUGUUCUGGUAUAGGUAAUGGCUGAAGAAGUCCGUAAGGUCGAUGUCGAGGAAUUUUUGAUCUUGAACAAAUAUCACAUGAUUGUACAAAGUCUUUGACUGACUUCCACAUUUGUGGCCACCAAAAAUCUCUUGAUAUGAGUUCCAGAGUCUUAUUAUAUCCAAAGUGCCCUGCUGCUGGAAAGUCAUGACGUGCUUGAAGAACACGCAAACGUGCUUUUCCUUCUGGAACAUAUAGGCGUCCUUCAAAAUAUAAUAGAUUAUUCUUGAACUCGAACUUAGAAGAAUCAUGAGACUUGGAAGAAUUAUUCUCGAUAUCAUGAACAAGAGGGUCUGAGGACAUACUGGACUGGAUUUGCUUGAGAAAAGUUGAAUCAACAGUCAAUGUUGAUUUCACUGCUCGGAGAUGAAAUUGCUCUGGUUUCAAGAGGACCGUUCUUUGUUGCUCAAAAGCUGCAUCUCCUUCUUUUGGUGCAAAAUAAGAACGUCUAGACAGGGCAUCAGACAAACCUUGUUGUUUUCCUGGCCGAUAAGUGAUAAUGAAGUCGAAUCUUGACAAAGACAUACUCCAACGAGCUUGACGACGAUUCAACACGGGUGCUGACAUGAAAUACUCGAGGUUCUUGUGAUCUGUAUACACAGUGAUUGGACUAGAAGCACCUUCUAAAUAAUGACGCCAUUCUUGAAAGGAAUCCACGAUUGCAAGAAGUUCUUUAUCGUGGAUCUCAUAAUUGAUCUCGGCUGCUGAGAAUUUUCUUGAAUGAAAAGCUAUCGGAUGAAGUUUGUCAUCUGUUCCCAUUUGUGAUAAAACUGCACCCAAGGCAAAAUCCGAUGCGUCUGUUUCCAUAAAAAAUACCUUGGAAAAGUCAACACGAUAUAAGACUGGUGCAGAGACAAACGAUGUCUUCAAGGCUUCAAAUGCUGCUUCCGCUUCUUGAUUCCAUUGGAAUUUAUCUUUACUAGUCAAGCGUGUAAGUGGAGCUGCAACUCGUGAGAAGUCUUUGAUGAAGAUCCGAUAGUAAUUGGCAAAUCCCAAGAAACAUUGGACAUCUCUUACAGUCUUUGGAAUCUUCCAAUCCAUGAUUGUUUGGACUUUCUUAGAAUCCAUCAUAAGACCAUCAUUUGAAAUGAUGUAUCCUAAAAAGUCAACUUGAGUAGUGUGAAAUACACACUUUUCCAUCUUGGCGUACAAUCCUGCAUCUCUGAGUUUUUGUAAUACUUGACGAACAUGUAUUUCAUGUUCUUCAACAUUCUUAGAAUAAAUCAGGAUAUCGUCUAGGUAGCAGACGACAAAAUUGUCUAAGAAUUCACGAAAUACAUCAUUCAUGAGAUGUUGAAAAGCAGCUGGUGCAUUCGUGAGUCCAAAAGGCAUGACAUUAUAUUCAAAAUGCCAGUACCUGGUUCGAAACGCAGUCUUCCAUUCAUCUCCUUCUUUGAUCCGUACUAGAUUAUAUGCUCCUCUUAGAUCUAUUUUUGUAUAGAUCUUAGCUUGAUUUAACUGGUCAAGGAGUCCUGAUAUCAAAGGUAAUGGAUACCUGUUCUUGAUUGUGAUCUUGUUGAGUCCUCGAUAGUCAACACACAUUCGUAAAGAUCCAUCUUUUUUCUUUACGAAUAAAAUUGGAGCUCCUGCUGGAGAUUUUGAAUGGCGUAUGAAAUUCUUCGCUAAAUUCUCGUCAAUAUAUGUCUUGAGUUCAGCCAACUCAUCUUGCGAUAAACUGUAAAUUGGUCCAAAUGGUGGCUGAGUUCCUUCCUUGAGAUCGAUUGAACAAUCGUAUGGGCGAUGCUCAGGAAGAAUAUCUGCAUUCUUUUUCUCAAAAACGUCUUGAUAAUCCUGAUAUUGACUUGGAAUGCCACUUGAAGUCUUUACGUUUUCAGAAAUAGGUGCAGCAUAAAUAGCAAAAGUUGAUCCUUCUUUUGCUGCGUGUAUAAAUGCUUUUGCACCUAUAGGUGCGAGUUUUACUAUACUAGACUCAUGGUUUUUUACUUGGUUAAUAGAACUGUUACUAAUGCUCUGAGGAAAAUCAAGUUUACGCGAAAUCCAAUCUAUUCGAGGAUUAUACUUUUCUAACCAUGAUAAGCCUAAAAUUACUGGAUUAGAGGGAGAUCUAAUUAUAUUAAAAAUUACGCAACUACUAUGACCAUUUAUUACUACAUCUACAGGAAGUGUUUCGUGAGUUACAUCUCCAGAAGACAACGGACGACCAUCUAUGACUUCUACGUGUACAGGUUUAGUUUUUUGUAUUAAUGAUAUUCUAUGACAUCUAGCAAAUUCUUCAUCUAAAAAACAAGAUGAGGCUCUUGAAUCUACCAAGGCAGAGGCUUUGUAAUUAUUAGGUCCUAAACGCACAUCUAUUAUAAAACAAGGAGAUGGUUCUGAGGAGAGGAUAGGACCUUCAUUAGAAGUUGUACAAGAUUCCAGCCGCACGGUCCCUAUUGUAGCUGGACGUACUCGUUUUCCGACAUACUGUCUUCUUUGACAGCCGUACUCCUCAUUUUGUAGUUACGUCGCUUCUUUGGACAAUGUUGAGCAGUGUGCUUAGGUUCUCCACUAUAUAAGCACAAUCCUUCUUGUCGACGACGAGACUUUUCUUGCUCAGUAAGAGGUUUGAAACGUACCGCAUCAAUUUGCAUAUCCUCUACUUCUGAAGGUAUGUGUUGAGGAGACGUCGGUGUUGCCAUUGAAUUGUAGUAACGUUGAGGCCCACUUGUGCGACUCUCGGAUCAAAAUUCAAAAAGUCGAUUGUCGCACUUCACAGCAAAGUCAAUUGCUUGACUCAAUGUUUGAGGAUCAGGUAAAUUAAGCAUCAAUUUCUUUACCUCAUAUUGUAAUCCGUAGAGAAAUUGACUCACAAGUGCGGCAUCAUCCCACUUGAUAUCAGUUGCAAGUUGUCGAAAUUGCGAAGCAUAUAAUGUUACUGAUCGAUUGCCUUGUCGCAAAAUACGGAUCUUGUUGGUUGCAACACGAAUUGCAUCAUGUUCUCCAAACAUGGAUCGAAACUCCGCCAAAAAAGCCUCCAGAUUAUCCAAUAUUGGAUCUCGUCGUUCAAGAAAAGAUGAAAACCAUGACAAUGCUGAACCUGAAAGAAGUGUACCAAUGAAUCUAACUUGUGACCCUAGAGUUGGAUAGCUCUGGGGUUGAAGUUCAAUCACUAGUUGGACCUGAUUGAUGAAUCCUCGAAACUUGGAUCUGGUACCAUCAAACUUCUCGGGCAAGGCAACUCUCGGUUCUCUAACACUCGAACGGUGUUCCAUUCUGGGAGAAGGGACAUGGUUUGGUGCAGAUGUUGAAGCAGCCCCAAUCAUCUCUAUAUCUUCACUUCCUACCAUUCUUGUUGCUCCUUGUGGUGGAAAAUUGAGUUGAUGCAUCGCAAGCAUUAACUCCCUCAAUUGUUCUUGCAUCUGUGCCAUUGCACUCUUCAUUUCAACAAGCUCUGCCAUAGUAGCACUUAGAAAAGAGAAGAUGUCUAAUAACGCUCAAAACAAAUAGAAGAGAGGAAUUGAUAACAAAGAAAAUACUAAGAACAAUAUCAGUUUAAAAGAGGGUAAUCCGCAACUUCUAAUGCGCUUAUGUCUUAUCAAAAAAAAGGGGUAAUCCACUCUUAAUCAAGAAAAGACAAAGCUCUGAUAUUGUAAGUGCACUCUUGUCAAUUUGUCAAGGACAAGAACUCGAUGAAAGCUAAAGAGUAAGUGAGACUUUUCUCAAAAAGAAAUAGGACAAAAUAGAAAUAUGUAUAUUAAGAAAGAAACUGGAAUGGCUAUUGCCAAAAUACAAGAAAACUAGAGACCCUUGAAACUAGACUAGAAGCAAGAAAGGAGUUGACAAGAGUGAAGAGGGCUUCACUCUUGCCUCUAUAUAUACUAUCUAACUAGAAGCCACGUGGCGAUGUUCUAUAAGACCUCCAAUAUAUGUUGACUUUCUAGGCCACAUGCCUUUGCUUGCAAGGCAAGUUUUCUAUGGAUGGACCACGUAGUUAGCUUGUUCUUUAAGCUUCCAACAUGUGUGGCACAUGGCUAACUUGUUGACCAAGUUUCUAACCUAAAAGUCAACUAUAGACUCCUAUAAAGUCAAAGCAGCGUCUAUGAAGCUUCUAAGAAGCUUCUCUAGAAGAUAUUACACAAUUAACCUACUUUUAUCUACUUUUACAUACUUUUAUCUAUUCAUAUAGGUAAUUAUAUGUAUGUCCGUGACAACUAGCUACUUUUCAACAUCUAACAAAUGAUGUCAUUUAUGAAUUCUUUGAUGAUUUUAUCAUCUAAUAUUAUAAUAACAUCUUAAUCUAAUCUAAAAACACAAAAGAGUAUGAAGUUUAUAUUUGUUGUUUAUUACAAAAACUAAAAGAUACAAGAUUAUAUGCAAAGAUGAAAAAGUGUGUAUUUUACACUACUUAAGUUGAUUUUUUUGGAUAUAUCAUUUCAAAUGAUGGUCUUAUGAUAGAUUCUAAGAUGAUUCAAACUAUCAUAGAUUAGAAGAUCUCAAAAAUAAUCAAAAAUGUACAAUAUUUUUUGAAAUUUGAAAAUUAUUAUCAAAUCUUCAUCAUGAACUUUUUUCAAGUUGUUGCUCCUCUUAUAUGCCUAACAUAUAAAGACAAAAUUGAAUGGAGGAAAGAAGUUGAAGGAUCUUUUGAAGCCUUAAAGACAUCAUUUAUUUUAGUAUUAAUUUUAUAUUGUGUCAACUUUUUAAAAGCAAUCUUUAUAGAAAUAAAUACAUCAAACUUUGUCAUGGAUGUUGCUUUCUCAUAAAGAGGAGCAAAUCACAAGCUCCAUCUAGUAGUUUUUUAUUCUAAGAAAUUUUCAAUAGCCAAGAUUAAUUUUGAAAUCCAUGACAAAGAGUUUUAUUGCAAUUUUGGAUUUAUUUCAAAAAUGGCAUCAUUAUCUAAAAUUUUCUUCUAGUCCAAUUAUUGUAUAUGAAGAUCACAAGAAUCUUGAAUAUUUUAUGUCAACACAUGUUUUGAAUUAUCACAAAGAUUGUUGGAGCAUGUCUUUAUCAAAAUUUGAUUUUAAGAUUACUUAUCAAUCCAAAAAAAUAAAAAUGUUUGUCAAUGGCCCUUUAUAAACCUUCUUAUCUUACACUAAAAGAAGAAGAUACAACUUUUGAUCAACAAAGAAUAAUUCGCUUAAAACUAGAGCAUUUUCAUCUUUAAACAAUAUAAUCAAUAUUGACUAUUGAUUCAUCUUUUGUCAAACAAAUUCAAUUAAGUAUGUCUUUCAAUCCUCUUCUUCAUGAUAUCAAGAAUAAUUCUUUUAAUUCUCAAAAUACUUUCAAGUUUGAAUUUAAAAAUAAUCUAUUCUAUUUUAAAAAAUAAUUAUAUAUUCUAAAAAGCAAAGCACGAUUACAUAUAUUUUAAAUUUGUUAUAACUUUUUAAUAAUCAAAUAUUUUGGAUAUAAUAAAAUUUUAAAGCUAAUAUUAAGAGAUUUUUGGUGGCUUCAAAUGCAAAAGGAAAUUAAAGACUUUCUACAAUCAUGUUAUAUUUGUUCAGGAUAAAAAACUCCUUGUUAUUGACUUUAUGGACUUUUCUAGCCAUUACCUAUUCCACAACAAUCAAGGUCUUUUGUUUCAAUGAAUUUUAUUAAAAAUAUUUUAAUUUCAAGUUUGUAUGAUUUUAUAUUUAUUAAAGUAGAUCAUUUUACUAAAAUGUCACAUUUUAUACUAUGUAUAAAAUAUAUCACAUGUGAAAAAAAUAGCUAAGCUUUUUCUUAAUAAUAUCAAUUACUAUCAUGAAUUGUCUAAAGAUAUUGUAUUGAAUAAGACUCAAUUUGUAUCAAGAUUUAAGAAAAUUAUUUUAAAUAUUCUAAAGUUAGAUAUAAAGCUUUUUUUGACUUUUUAUUCUUAAAUUGAUAAAUAAAUAGAACAAGUGAAUGAAGUUCUAAAGUAAUAUUUGAAGUAUACCAUCAACUAUCAUCAAGAUGAUUGAACAACUCUUUUGCUAUUGGUGGAGUUUGUAUAUAAUAAUUCAAUAUAUUCUUCUAUUCAACAAAUACAUUCUUUUUUAAUUAUGGUUGUUAUCCAUGACUUGAUACUUUUGACUUUUCAAAAGUUAAUAAUCAUGCAACAAAAGAUUUAGUAAAUUAUUUGUCAAAGCUAUAUACAACAAUGAAGGCAAAAUUAACAAAAAGAUAAAAAUAAUAAAAGAUCAAUGUGGAUGCCUAUUGCAAGGAAAAACUACAAUUUAUUGUAGGUGAUAAGAUAUGACUACUUCAUUGCAUUAUCAAGACUAUUCAUCUUUGUAAUAAGUUGGACUAUUGUAGGCUUUGAUCUUUUUCUACUUAUAAAUAAGUCAAUCUUAUUCCUUAUCAAUUACAUCUACUGGAGUCUAUGAAGAUCUUAUCAUGGACAUAGGCAUGUAAGCCAAUAAUUACAUGUAUAAAUAGGUAUAAGUAAGUAAAAGUAGGUAAAAAUAAGUUAAUUCUAUAAUAUUUGGUAUAGAAGAUUCUUAGAAGCUUCAUACACAUUGCUUUGACUUUAUAGGUGUUUUUAAUUGACUUUUUGGGAUUAAAAACGUGGUCAAUAAGUUGGCCAUGUACCACACAUAUUGUUAGCUUGAAGACCAAGGUAACUAUGUGGCCCACACGUAGAAAAACUUGCCUUGUAAGUCAAGGCAUGUGUCCUACAAAGUCAACACAUAUUGAAGGUCCUGUAGAACAUUGCCACGUAGCCUUUAAUAAGAUAGUAUAUAUAAAGACAAGAGUGAAGCCUUCUUUACUCUUGUCAACUCUUUUCUUGCUUCUAGUCUAGUUUCAAGGGUCUCUAGUUUUCUUUUGGCAAUAGCUAUUCCAGUUUCUUUCUUAAUAUACAUAUUAAGUUAUUUCUAUUUUUUCAUCUUUCUUUGAGAGUAGUCUCACUUAUUUAUUUGACUUUAUCAUGUUUUUGUCCUUGACACAUCUAUUUCAUAUUCUAUAUAUAUAUUUUUUUAGCCAUAUAAAAUAAUGAACAUUUUAAAAUGAAGACAAAUGCUACCACGUCCUAUAAAAGUGGAUAUUAAUCAAGACUUCAAGGUGGAAGAAGAUUUAUAUUCAAGGUGAUGCCAAAAUAUAGUGUCUCAAAAUAUAUUAUUUUAAUGUUGACAUAUUUUAGAAAGAAUAGUAUAUUACAAAUGAAUUGUAGUGAAUAAUGACAUGUGGUUUGUAUAGCAAAUAAAGUAUUCUUUUAUAGCUAUCAAAUGAGCCCAAAUUAAAAAGAAUCCAUUAAAUAAUUAGAAAGCUAUGACCAAUCUAAUUUAGAAUACUAUUAAAAUAAUUUUUUGAAUGUAGGAUCUAAUUUUUGGAUUCUAUCAAUUACUCAAUAUUAUAAUAUUCUAUCAUUAUUAGAUUUACUAUAAAAAUAUUAUUAUUAAUCUAAUAACAUCAUUAAUGCUCACUAGCAGUUAUAAAAGUACCAUUCUUAAUCACAAUUUCUAGUAUGGACGUAUUUCAAAUUAUCACAUUUUAGUACCUUCUAAAAUCUUCUACAAUAUUUUAAAAAAUUCCAUAGGCUUUUGGAAGCCUCUUUAGACUUCUAAAAGCUUCUAUAGAUUUCUAAAAACUUCCAUAGAAAAUACCAUAGACUUUUAUAACCUUCAUUAUAGUAUAAAUAGAAGUUUUUUGAACCACUUUUGCUAUUAAUAUUAUUCUUUGUCUUUAAUCUUGAAAUAUUUCUUUAUCAAAUCCUUGAUAAUUCUUUAAAUAACUUUGAGAUAUAUUUUUUACUCUUUCCAAGACAACAUCACAUCUACACUUCUUUAUUCUCAAAAAUCUUAUGGCCAAAUUGCUUCUGAACUUAGCUGCUAUAAAGCUAUUAUCUCUAGGGUAGCAAAAAAGAUUACUUUUAAUUAGGCAGAUCAAAGAAAUUCACUGCAGUAGAUAAAAAGGCAAUUAUUUUCCAAAUCAACUCUUAAAAGGCUGAAAAUAUUAUUGAGGUUGCUAAAAAAUUUAACAAUAUUAUCAGUAAUCUCCUACCAAUUCAAACCAUUCAAAAUAUUCUUAAGAAAUGGAAUAUGAAAGUUGUUGUGAAAAAAAAAAAAAAAAUCCACUAUUAUUUACUUACUAUUGAAAAUAAUGCUUGGAUUUUGCUUUAAAAUACAAGGAAUGGACUAUGGAAAAUUGGAAGAAGAUUAUUUGAUUAGAUGAAAAAAAAUCAACAGAUUUUGAUCAGAUGGCAAAAAGUGGAUGUAGAAACAAAAGGGUCAAUUCUUACUUGACAAGAAGAUCCAAGAAACAAUUAAGCAUAGAAGUAGAAAUAUAAUAGAAUGAGAUUAUAUGAGAUGGAAUGGAAUUAAAAAGAUAGCAUAGGUUGAGUGAAAUAUGGAUGCCAAGCAAUUUGUAGAAAUUCUUGAAAAAGAAUCUGCUCCCUAAAAUUUAAGAAUCUCGCAUAUAUGAGGAAGAGGUAAAUUUUCAGCAAGAUAAUGACCUCAAGCAUAACUCAAAACUAACAAAAAAGUGGUUUGUUCAUCAUAUGAUUAAAUUAACAAAUUGACAUAUUCAAUCUCUUGAUCAUAAUUCCAUUGAACAUCUUUGGGAGCACCUCAAAUGCCUACUCAACAUUUGGAAGAUAAAAUCAAUGGAAGUUUGGAAAUUAUGAAAAAAAAAAUUGUAGAAUGAAAUAAUAUUGAAGCAAUUUUGUGCCAAAAGUUAAUAAAAAGUAUGUAUAGGAGGUUGGAAGUAGUUAUCAAGGCCAAAGUAGGUCUUACAAAGUAUUGAUAUAUAUUUGGAUACCACAUUCAAAAAAAUAUUUCAAUACUAUUCCAAAUUAGAUUGGUCAUAGUUUUACAAUUACCUAAUGGAUUUUUUUCAAUUUAUACUCAUUUGAUAGCUGUAAAAGAGUAUUUUAUUUCCUAUACAAAUCAUAUCUCAUUAUUUAUUACAACUCAUCUAUAAUACAUCAUUCUUUUUAAAAUAUGUCAACUUUGAAAUAAUUUUUUAAAUCAUUGUAGGUUAGAAUAUCUUGUUCAUUGGCAUGGAUAUGAUAUCAAUGAAUGCGCAUGGGAGCCAACAAGUUUUUUUGCAAAUGCAAAAAAAAAAAUUGAAGCUUUUUAUUAAUAAUAUCCAUUAAAAUCAAGAUUAAGAAUAAAAAAAAUUUAUUAUAAAAGAAACAAGAUUAAAAAAAUAUAGCAUUCUACUUUCUAUUCUUGUUUGUAAUUUUUGUACAUUUGUGAAAUUAAGAAAAUAGAGAAUCAAAAACCAAAAAAUUCAACUCAAGAGCUAUUAUUUAUUGACUUAUCAGAUGAGAUAUUGUAAUUGUUAUAACCUCCAAGAUGACAUAAUCAAGAUAACACAAUCAGAAUGAAGAUCUUUAAGAAUGAUACGUUUUUCUUUGAAUAGAUGGCAAGAUGUAACAUGUUUGGUAUUACAAUAUUAUAAGAGAUUCUUGAUGUUUGGUGGUUUUAUUAGAAAUAAGAAUGACUCUUAAUGGUAUUUUAAAUUUUUUAUUUGAAAAAAAUUACAAAGGCCUCAACAAUUUUCAAAUAAUAUGGUGGUCUUUUUUGCCUUGAUAUGAAAUACUAUCAAUGGUUGAAAAGACCUAUCAACCAUCUUCAAAGAGAACAAAGAUCACAGAAUGUGGUAAUCACAAUUUGUCACAUUUUGGAUUUCUUCAAUAUGUGAUAAUUGCUCCUUGUCGAUUUUAUUUCCAAAAAAAGAGAUAAUAUCAUAGACAUACAUAUUUAUUUAUAUGAUUAAAUAAAAGUUGAUAGAUAUAAAAUUAUUUCAUAAUAUGUUUUAAAAAAAAUUCCUAGAAGCUUUAUAAAUGUUGCUUUGAUUUUAUAUAUAUUUGUAAUUAAUUGGUAGGUUAGAAAAUUGUUCAAUAAAUUAACCAUAUCUUGAUAGCUUACAAAACAAGCUAAUUAUAUAGUGCACAUAUAAAAAACUUGCCUUGCAAGUUAAGAUAUGUGUCUUACAAAGUCAAUAUGUUUUGGAGGUCCUAUUAGGCAUUGCUACAUAACUCUUAUUUAAGAGCAUAUACAAAGGCAAGAGUGAAGUCUUCUUCAUUUUGAUUAAUGCCUUUCUUAUCUUUCAUCUUGUUUCAAAACUUUCUGAUUUUCUUGUCUUUGAUAAUAUUCAUUUUAGUUUAAUGUUAUAUCAUCUUUGAGUGAUUUUUUAAUUCUUUUGAGUGACAUAAGAGUGUAUUUAGGAUUUCUUUCUUUGAAUUUCAUGUCCUUGAUAAUUUGAAAUUGUUAUAGAUCUUCAAAAACUUGUCAAUAUUCUAAAAUUAGAAAUCUCAUAUAUUUUCAAUAUGAAUUAUGAAGUAUUAUUUUUACGCAUAUGGAACAAAUUAACAAUGAAGUUCAAAGUCUAUGCCAAGAAGAAAGAUCAAGCUUAUAACUAAAUCCAAUUUUUUUUUGCUACUACAAGUAUAAUAGAAGCAAUAAUAAAUAUGGUCAAGAAAUUUGAUGGAAAAAAAUCAAAGUUUUAAGGAAUUCUACAAAAAUAUAAAAUUCUAAGGUUGCAUCUUUUCUAAUAACUUGAUUGAUUUACUCAAAUUGGAUUCAUUAAAGUCUUUUUUUUUACAAAUGUUAUUGUAUUAUAUGAAGUCUAUUUAAUAAUUUACCAGAUACAUUGUUGUAGAAAAAAAAAAUAGAACUUACAACAAGAUGAUCCUAACAACUCUAAUAAAAUCCUUAAAAUAAUUUAAUUAAAUUAUAAAAAUAUUAACCAAUCUUUAAUUAAAUCCACAAAAAGUUUCAAGAACUUACAAAAGAAAUAUAAAAAAAUCAUAAAUUAAUCUUAAUAAAAUACAUACAAUAAAAAAAUCUUAAAAAAUAUCAAAAUAAUAAAUCUUAAUUGAAUUUUAAUUAAAUACUAAUGUAAUCUUCCAAAAUUUUAAUAAAAUUUUAGACUAAUUUCAACCAAAACUUUAAUGAAAUCCUAAAUUUUUAACAAAUCUUAAUCAAAUUUUAAACAAAUUUUAAUCAAAUCUUAAUCAAAUCUUAAUCAAAUCUUUAAAAAAUCCUAAUAAAAUCCUAAGUAAAUCUUAAAUUCUAAUCAUAGAUCAAAUUCUAAUAAAAUCAUAAUAAAUCCUAAAAAAAUCCUAAAUCUUAACUUCAGACCAAAUCCAUAUGAAAUCUUAAACUUUAAACAACUUAAGAAAAUUUCAAAUAAAUUUCAUUCGAUUAUUAUAGCUAAUUGAAACCUCAAUAAAUAUUAAUUGAACCAUAUAUCUUGACUAAAAUUUUACUUAUACUUCAACCAAUAAACAAUUAAGAAACAUAUAAAAUUUAAAAAGAAUCAAACUUAUCAAUUAUAAGAAAAGCUUCCAAAACUUCUUAGUUAUUGAUGGCCUUUCUUCUCCCACUUGAAUGCUGAUCUUUUAACAUUGAUUUUUCCUUAUUGAAUCAAUUUAUUUUUCCAAAUAUUGGAUUUUAUGUAUAUAUUCAAGUCUUAAGUGCUUUCACCAAAUUUUGCUUCAAUUUAAUCAGCUAAUAUUGAUAGAUAUUGAAAUCAUUUGCUAAUCCUAAAUCUCAUUUUUUAAAAACUAUAAUCCAUAAAAAUUAUUAUAUUCUUCAAUCUAAUAUCUUCAUUGACUUCAAACAUUUCACAUACAUUUACAACAAGUACAACAAAAAAAAUUCCAAUUUUUAUUAAUACACAUACUAUAAAACUCACAAAAUCUUAAAAUUUGUAAAUUUAUUUUACUUUUUAAAAUAUAAAUCUAUCAAGUACAUCAUUAACUUUGAAAAGCCCUCAAAAUAUCAAUAUUAAUUUUAAUAACAUGAAACCAACACUCAAACCUCUUCUCUCAAGUGUGCUUUCAAAGCUUAUUCUUUAAUUUGCAAAAAAAUGUGAAGUCAUUGUAGGUGCUCGAUUUUUUGCCUUGGAGUCUAAUUUUGACCUUGGUUAUCAAUUGAUCCUCUACAAGUAUCAAUUCUUAUCUUCUUAAGGUAAUUUUUUCUAAUAUCAACUUCUAAUUUUUUUUUAUAUAUGUCUAUAUUCUUGAUUUCUCUUAUCUAUCUUAUUUUGCCUUAUUUAUGGUUCUAUAAAAUAAAUAGAAAUCAUUUUUAUAAAAAAUAAUUCUAAUACUAAUAGAUUUUAUUACUUGCCUAUCAUUUAUCUAUAUUUUUACUAUAUAUUUUUAUUUAGGUUCUUCUAUAAUAAAAUAUUUUCCUUCUUCUUUCACUUUAUGGCCCUAUUAUUAUACAAUAGUGCUCUUUCUUCAUUUGUACCUUUGAUAGAAAAAGAUUCAUGGCUAUUUAUGAUCUGAAUUUAUUUUUAUAAGUAUUUAUGGCUAUAUUUAUAAAAAAAAUUUGAAAAAAGGUAGCAAAGUACAAGCUUGUAUCUCUACAAUAAAGAUCAUAUUUAGCCACUACAUAUAUUGUUGAAUUUCAAAAUCUUACUUAUGACGUGGAUUGGAAUGAUAAAGCCAUUAUUAAUCAAUUUUGAUAUAAAUUGAAAGAUGAUAUUAAAUAUUUAUUUUUGAUAAUACCAAUAAUAGAUUUAUUAGAGUAAAUUAUUACUCAAGUCAUUGUAUAUGAUAAUUAGUUUUUUAAAAGAUACUAAAAAUAAAUAUUUGAUUAAAGAUGUACAAAUUAAGCCAUAGAAAUGUUUUUAAAAUUUUUGAAAGCUUAUUUAUUAAGGCUAGAGUCUAUGCAAAUUGACAAGGUAAAUUUUAAACCUCUUACUGAGCAAGAAAAGAUUUGUCAUUGUUAAGAGAGUUUAUACUUAUAUUGUGUAGAAGCUAGGCACACUACUUAAUAUUUUCUAAAGAAGCAACGCAAUCACAAAAUAAAGAGCAUGGUUGCCAAAGAAAACAAUAUGUUGUAAAAUAAAUUUUUCUAGCUACAAUGAUGACCAUGCAACUGGAAUCAUGUACAACACUUAGUACAAGUCUUAUUCUUUCAUUAGAUCUCUCAUCUUUUUUUACAAUAGAUAUAUAUUUAGGACCAAAAAAUCACAAAUUCUUAGCUUUGUUAGAUUAAAGAGCCUUAUUAUGUUUUAUAGACAAAUAUUUUGUCAAAAAAUAAGAAAUAUUUUUAGUUAAAAAAAACCAAACUUGUAUAUGUAAAAGUAAUAGAUAAUUUCUUUUGUAGCUAUAAAAAAAGACUCAAUUUUUGUUAUAUAUGCCACACCUAUUAUUGUUGAAAAAAAGAUUUUAAAUAAUAUUUCAAGCCAAUAUCAAGAUUAUUAAGACAUUUUGAAAAGAAAAAUAUAGAUACUCUUUUUAAACAUUAUCCUUAUGAUUAUUUUAUUUAACUUCAAGAAAAAGCUCAACCACAAUUUAUACCAAUCUAUAACCUAUCAUAGAAUAAGUUGGAUGCACUCAAGGAGUAUAUUGAUGAGAAUUUGGCUAAGAAUUUCAUAUGCUAUUGUAUUCUAUGAAGUCUUGCUCAAGAAUGCAUCAGUCACCUAGCUAUAGAAGAUAAAAUCAAAAUUACUACAACAAAAUCUUAACUCUAAUAGAAUACUAAAUAAACUCUAAUUAAAUCUUACUAAUGUUAAACAAGAUUUGAUCAAAUUUAAAAGAAAAUUUAAAGUAAUUACAAUAGAAAUAAUAAGAAAUCUUAAUGGGAUUAAAAGAAAAUCCUCCAUAAACCUUAAAUUUUUUUUAAAGAAAUCCUAAAAAUAUUAGAAUAAUUACAAAUAUAUCUUAAAUAAAUCUCAAAAAAGUUCCAAUUUAAUCCUUGUUGAAAUCUUAAUGAACUUCAAUCAAAAUCUAAACAAAUCCUAAAUUCUAAACGAAAUUCUAGACAAAUCCUAAACACUAAAACAAAUUCUAAAAAAAUCCUAAAUCCUAAAUCAAAUCCUAGAAAAAUUCUAAACCAUAAACCAAACCUUAGAAAAAUCUUAAAUCCUAAAUCAAAUCCUAAACUAAAUCCUAAUUCUAAAGCAAAUCGUAACCAAACCUUAAUCAACUCAAUCUAAUUCUAUUACUGUUUAAAACCUUAAUAACUAUCAAUUGAGUUAUUGAUAUUGCUUAAAAAUUUACAUACUUCUCAAAAAUUAAAUUAGUAAUAAGUAUAUGAAAUUUGAAGAUAAUCACAUAUACCAAAGGGAAGAAAAAUCUUAAAAUUUUCUCGAGUAUUGGUUGGCCUCCUACUCCAAUCUAAAUGUUGAAAUUCCAGUGCCAAUAUCUCUCUUUUAAACCAAUUAAUUGUUCUCAAAUUUCACAUAUGUAUAACAAAUCAAGUCUAUUACUUUUAUAAAUAAAUUUUACUCCGAUUCAAGUAGUAGAUUGCUAAAGAUCUUAGAAACUCUAACUGCCUUUUAAAGUCCAAUUUUUGAGAUCUCAACCUACUUGAAAUUCAAUAACCUUCAAUUCAAUAAUUUUAUCAAGCUCAAACUUACAGCAUAUACUCUAGACAAUUAUUUUUAUAAGUCUUCAAAUUUUGAAUCAUAGAUCUAUUACCAAAUUCAUGAAAUUCUCUAAAUUAUUAUAUCCUUUUUUAUUUCAUAGAUUCUAUAGUCACCUAAAAGAAGUGUGACUUUACAAAGCUCUUACAAAAUCAUUACAUACUCAAAUCACUUAAAAUCAUGCCUAAAGAAACUUUUUUAAGUCUAUUCCUUAAUCCUACUUAUUGAUCUGCAAAAAAAUCCCCAAAUUACUAUAGGUACCUAAUUUUAUGCCUCAAGGUCUGAUUUCAAUCCAUAUUGAUAACUGGUCCUCUCCAAGUAUCAAAUUUUGCCCUUUUGAGUUAAUUAUUGCUAAAAUCAAUUCUUUACUUCCUUAUACUUAUGCUCAUAUUCUUUAUUUUUCUAAUCUACUUUGUUUUUUUUUUAUUUAUUUAUUUAUGAACUUACUAAGUAAAUAGAAGCUUACUUUGUAAAAAAGUAGCAUUUACAUCUUUAAUUUUACCUUCUUUUUGGACUAUUGUCUAUUUUUUAAGAUAAAUUGUUAUAAUAUUUGAAGUAAGAUCUUCUAUAAUAUAAUAAUUUUUUCACCCUUUUUACCUAUUAGUCAUAUUAUAUCAUGACAUUCACCCCCUAAACUUGUGCAUCUUCCAACAUGUGCCAAUGAUUCUUUAAUAUAUUAUUAAAGUAUUCUUUAUCAUGGUUAGAUUCUUGAUCUUCAAUUUUCUCUUCUUCUUCUAUCUUAUUGUCUUGUAAUGGAUUUUAUUCUUCGUCAAAAUUAAUAUUUUUAUCUCUUUGUUUAAAUAACUUGAUUAUCUUCUUUACUAUAGGUAUCUUUAUUUUUGUACCAUUAAGUUCUUAUAAAAAGUAUGUUCUAUUGUUGUAUACUUAUUUGACAACAUAAGGCCUAAACUAUCUUCUUGUAAAUUUUUUUAUCGUGCUAUAUUGGUUGUCCAAACUACUAUCAUAAACCAACAUCAAAUCAUCAUUUUGAAUUAGUUUUGGAUAUAAUUGAUGUUUUUUGUCAAAUCUUUCUUUGUUUUUCUCCUUUUCCUCUUUGAACUUCUUUAUAGCUUUCUCAAUGUCCUCAAAUUUUCUUUUAAGUUGUCAAGUUUGUAAUGCUAAUAAUUCUUUUUUUCUUAAACCAUCUUCUUGAGGUAAUAUAUUCUAUAUUGGCAUCAUUGAUUUUUGUCCAUACAUCAAUUCUGCUACCAUGUAUCAUAUAAUUGUACUAUGAGUUAUGUGAUUCGUCUAUAAUGCAAAUGAUAAUAACUUAGGCCAAUCACCUAUCUUGCCUUUGCAUACUUUAAUCAAUGCUUUAACAAUUGGAAAGUGUCCACAUUCACUGUUGUUAUUUUUUUUUAGAUUAUAUGUGGUUGUUACUACGACUUUAAUACCCAUCUUCUCAAAGAAUUCUCCUACUUUAUUUGCAUCUAAUUUCCUUCUAUCUAUAGUAAUUUUUCUAAUAUAAUCAUAUUGACAAAUAAUUUCCUCUAAUAUAAACCGAUAUACCUCUUCCAAAGGCUUUGUUCAAAAUGCUCUUCCCUCCACUUGAUUUAUCAAAUUCUCUUCAGUAAGUAUCAAAUAUUUCUUUUGUCCAAAUUCCAUUGGUAUUACAACUAAAUCAACUAUCAAUUUCUAGUGAAUUGCUAAUGGAUAUGUUGGAUGCAAUCCAUCUCAAUGACAAAUGUUUGAAUAUAUUUGACAAAUCUCACUAGAUCCUAUAAAAUCUGCCAUAUUUUUAUAUAUGCCCUUUCACCAAUAUUUUUCUUUUACCUUUGCAAAUAUUGCCCAAAUGCCUCAAUAUCCGGCCUAUCAACUUUCAUGAAAUUCUUUAAUGAUAUUUAGUUGAGUAUGAUAGCUACAUAUAAUCCAUUGUGGCACUCCGCUCCUUUGCUUUGGAUGCUUCUAUAAAAAUCCAUCUUUAAAAAAAUAUCUAUAAGCUUUCCUCCAAAUUCUUUUAAACUUAUAAUUUGCCAAAUCUUCUUGCUGCUUUAAUGUACUUAAGUACUUUUUAAUAUGCAACCAUUCACCAUCAUAUAACUCUUUUGAAAAUAAUUCAAGUAGUUUAAUUAAAUACAACUCAUUCCUUCUUGCACACAAAGUUGAAUAAAAGUCCGUGCCAAUAUUUUCUUCAUCAUAUCAUGCUCAUGACAACAUGUCUGCAAGCACAUUAUCUUUUUUAAAAAUAUGUUUGAAUUCUGGAUUCAUAGACUUUAUUUAUAUAAUCCAUCUUAACAUUGAUAUAUCUGAUGUAGAAUAAUUACUAAUCAUGCCUAAUAAGCAUAAACAAUCUAUUUCUAUAGCUAACAAUGUAUCAAUCAAGUAUUCUUUUUUAUUUUUCAUAGCCAUUACUAUACAUUAUAAUUUUUUUUUAACUUGUGCAUAUACCUUCUGCUUAGCAUUCAAAAUCUUUGCUUUAAAUCUUACUACAUAUUUAUUUCUUUGUUCAUCAUCUUGUCUAACUAUUCAACCUAUUUCAAUUAGACUCAUAUCAACUGUUAAUAUCACUGACCUUCGACAUUCAUAAUUUACUUUCUUCAAAGUUAGAGGUGAAGAAAGAAGUUCUUUCAAUUUUUUCAUAGUUUUUUUUUGUUUCCCUUUCUAAUGAAAUUUUUGAUUCUUUUGUAACAACUCAUCUAAUGGAUCUGCUACAUAUGCAAAAUGAGAUAUUCAUAUAUAAUAAAAAAUACAUGCUCCUAAAAACCUUCAAAUUUCCGUUGUGUUUAUGCAUUCUUUCAACUUUUUAAUAAUAUUAAUAUUUUUCAUACUUGGCUUGCGUCCAUAUCAUCCACACAUGUAUCCUACCACCAAAACUUUUUUUUAUCCCAAAUAUUGAUUUUGUCCCUGAUAAGAUUAAAUAAUUUUUUUCUAAUCUUGUCAAAAUCUUCUCAUAAUCAUCAAUAUGAUUUGCCACAAACUUCCUACAUCCUAUUGAAUCCAAUAUCUCAUCUUUUUUUUCUUCUUAACAUCCUUUAAUAGUACAUCAUCUAAAAAAUAAAUUAUUAUUUUUAAAAUAAAUUCUCUUAAUAUCUUAUAUAUUCUAUUCAUUAUGUGUGCCAUAGAAUUUGUAACCCCUUGAGGUAAUAUACACAUUCUGACUAAUCCUAAUGGUGUCUUUACAAUUGUUAAAUUCCUACUUUGCAUUGCUAAUUGAAAUUACUCAUAAUCUAAAUAAAGAUUACUUAUUAAAUAGAUAGCUCUUCUAGCAAAUGCUUCUACAAAUUCAUCCAUAAUUGGACUUGAAUCCAUAUUUCUAAUAGUCACUUUAUUCAUAAGUUGGAUGUCUUAUAUAAAUCUCAUUGUUUUAUUUUUCUUUGGCACUAUAAAUCAUCAAUUAAAAUAGGAUACCAUUGAUAGUUCUAAAAUCCUCAUUUUAAUUUUUUUAUUGAGUAAAUCUAUUAGCUUAGAUAAAUGUGCUCUUGGUACUAAAAUUAGUCACAAAUUUCAUAGUUCAUGAGGAAUAGUAAAAAAAACCAUAGGUGUUGCAAUACUUAGAUCGACAUAUCUAAUUUCAUGUGCCUCCAAUGCAGAAGCCUUUCUAUGUCGUCUAAGGAUAUCUUUAAAAUAUAUUUUUUCAAAUUUUGUCAAAAAUCCAUCAUAUCCAACAUUUAAUCCAUGUAAUGUAGUAUCCGUAAAUUCAUGCCCUAUCUUCCUACGAUCCUUUAAAUUUAGUUGUGUAGAUGCUCCAUUUAUCCUUUCUUCAUAAUCUGGUAGUAGUGGCAAAGUCAUUGGUUUGACAUUUUUUGCGAUUGAUUAUACUUAAUUUCAACAUAUUGUUGUGACGUAAUAUGACUAUAUAGAGAAAUUAUAAUCAAAAUUAAAUUUUUAAUUAAUAUGUAAUUAUCUUAGUUCAAUUAUAAUUUUAGGUGUAUAAACAUGGCUUUCAUAAAAGCCUCUUAGGUUAUUUUCUUAUCUUAAUAGUUAAUAAGUUGAAAGUUGGUUAGUAAUUUUACCUUCUAGAUUGUAGAGACACUUCUACUACCUUAAAAAGCCCAUAAAUUGAUAAAAUCAGGUUAAAAGAGGUAAAUAAUUAAUAUAGUUGGUACUAGGAUUAAGUUGAAAGUAGGGUUGGACUAAAAAAUCUUUAGGAUAGGUUAAAUUGAUACCCGGGGGUCGGCCAUUUGUGAGACAAGGUUGAAAUCAGACCUCUCACCACAAAAAUGACGGCCUAGGGCAAAAUAAGGAUUCACUCAAAGAUCGAAGGAUAGUAUUUGAGAGCUAGCUUGAAGUUCUUUCUAGAGACAUAAGGAUUUUUUUUGGAAGGUUUUUGAAAAUUGAGAAAUUGUUCAAAGUCAGGGUUUGUAUUGGUGAUUUGGGUUUUAUAGAAUAUAACUAGGGAUAGCAAUUUUGGCUAGUUCAUGUAAUUAGUCUCACAUCUAUGGUUGAAAAUUUGGUACUAUUUGGAUUAUUAGGUGUGCUAAGUGUAUACAAAAUUUUGUGAUAAUCUAAUGGCGUGCUUUAGAGAUAUCUAGUUUUUAGUGUAAGAGGGUUUUGGAAGUUGGCAGUUUAAGGUUGGGUAGGAUUUUUGUGAUAUAUGGAGAUCAAUGAAAUGGAUUAAGGUGAAAUUUUGCAUGGUAUUGAAGGACUUGAAGAUCAAAUUGCACACCAAUUUUGAGUCAAAGUUAAUGGUUGGAAAGGGAGAAAUCACUACUGGGAUUUCUACUUCACUUUUUAAGUUGGUGGCCAAGUGACAUCAGUGCAAAUUUCGGAGGUUUUCUCACAAUUUAUAAGUUGGAUUGGGCUAAAAAUUCUUGAGCAUAUAGAAGACUUACAUUGACUAUUGCAUGCAAAAUUCCACAUCAAGUGGACGGUCGGAUUGGAUGUUAUAGCUUAUGAAAGCUCACUAAUUAUAGUUGGGGCUUAUAAGAAAAAUCUAAAUUACUUAAAUAUGAAAGUAACAAGAUAAUUGGGAUUUAUGUAUGAUUAAGGCUAAUAAGAAGAGUAUUUUUAGCACUUUUGAAUUGAAAUUCAAAUUAUAUUCUUCUUGUAUGGAUGAAACCUAUUAGGAUUCUUGAAUUCUUGUGAAACACAACCUCACCUUCCACAGUUAGGUGCCUGAUGCAUUCCCAAGGAAGACAACACAUAAUAUGAUAAUAUACCUCUUGGCAAUUUAAAUUUUCUAUAAAUCUAUAGAUUUCAUCAUAAAAUUCUUUAGAACAUACAUUAAUACAUUUAUUCUCUCCUUGCAAUCUAUCUUGCGACAAAUAAUUUAAUUUUCCCAAGAUAUCUGCAAAUGCCACUUCUUCAAAUGUUCCUAAAAUAAAUUCAUUUUCAAUCAAUUCUCCAUUUUUUUUUUCCAAUUUUUGCUCAAUAUUUUUAACAUAUUGUUUAUCCAUCUUCUUCAUCUUAUCAAUAUUCUUAAAAGAUAAUACACAAUUUGGUGUCAACUCAAUCAGCCUAGUAAAUAAUAUUUUCUUUUUAUACUUAGAGGGAGCAUCUUUUUUCUUAACCCAUUGCAAUCUUGUUUUAUAAUGGUGUGGUGAAAAUCCCUCACAUGUUCACCUCUAAAUUCUCUAGUAACCUUUGGCAAAGGUUGCUCUCUCAAACUCCCACAAUUUUUGUCAUGAUUAGCACAUACUGUCCAAAAUUGCAUCAUUUUUGUUCUAUCUUGAUUCCAAGCAUAUGUCAAUCUAUUGUCCUUAAUCUUUGUUUCCAUGCAAGUAGCCGUAAUAUAAGGUUUUUUUAGAAUGAUAGGAUAAGUAGACAUAUCUUGCACAAAGAAGUUUUUCUCAUCACUAAUAUCUCCUAUUAUAACCUAUUAUAUUGAGAAAAGACAUCCUUCUAGAGUGGAUCUCACUGAAAACUUAAGACAUAUGUGCCCUAAGGUCAUGGUCGAAUGUCUCAGCUGUGGGGCAAAGAUCCCAAUGAAGUCCAGCCUGAGCGAUGCCUUGAGGGUAGUAUAUUCAUCCCUGUAUCUCCAUCAGUAUUUCCUGCUUUCCAGGCUUGUAAUUCGUGUCCUGCCUUAUCCCCAGUCCAGAUAGGUGCAUAAACUUUCUUCUGGGUGAUAAGUAUAUUGACUGAUGCCGAACAUUUGCACUGUUUAGCCAGGCUGGUCCUCGCAUCUGCAUUGGCAUCAAAUCGGCGGCCUUGCAUAUGAAGAUGGCCACGGCAGAUUUUUAUGUCGGUUGUCAAGUUCAGAAUUGAUGCGUGGUCACCCUGUGGAUUGCCAACCGACCGCCAACUUUUCCAUACAAAAAAGAACUGCACUGGGUAGAGAGAAGGCAAUGUUUAAAUAAAUGUGUCCCUCGUUUGUUUCUACCCCGCCUUCAUCACAAUAACAAACUUCGUGUGUAUCAGAAUUAGUUCGGAGUUAUGAAAUUUGUAUCUUCAAGCACAAAAAUAGUUCGUGAAAAUCUAACAAAUUUUUAUUUUAUUUAUUUAAUUAUUAAUAACUUGAAUGUGAAUACUAGAUAAUGCUCUCCAGCUUGUAAAUGUCCAUUGUUUAUAUUUUCAAUAUUUAUGUAUACGUGCCAUUCAUUAUACGUAUAUUGAAAAUAUUUAUGUAUACGUGCCAUAUACAAAAGCAUUAUUAAUUGUUGAUUCAGGGUAAUUUAAAAUUAGCAUAUGCUUGGAAGACAACAUAUACUAAAUAAUCCGUACACGGGUUUAGGAACUUACCUCUCAACUGCAAUACAUCGGAGCAAAAGAUGGAUAGCAGAAUAAAAAAGGUGGUUUACGGUGUGUGCUAUACCAAAGCUAUCAGAACUAGGGAAUUAAUUAUAGGGGACUCCCAUUGAAUUUACUGUGAAGGGAAACACUUGAACCUAUGACAAACAUAGAUGAGGAUGCAAUACAAGCUAAUCUUAUCAAAGUCCUCUAAUACUUAAUUACAGCUGGAUCAUAUUUGCUAAAAAUGAAAUAAUGAAUUUAUAGAACCAGAAUGUCCGGGAAAAAAUACGAUUCUAACAUUAUCUGACAUUGCCAACGAAGAAGCUUAAUCAUUCUAAGCAUUCUAGGUAAUGCUGAUCUUGACCAAUGUCAAUGCUUCGACCUACACAAAUAGUCUACAAUAAAUACCUGCUUUCAAUUACCAACUAAAAAAAAAAAAAUCCAGUGGGAGACACAACAGCAAAUGAAUUCAGAAGCCCUCAAUAUCCGUUCUGAGACAACAACACAGAUAUGUAUAUGUACACGAUUAUUCGUCUGAUAACCAACAUCCGUUCUAUCGAGAUUGUGAAGAAUCAACGAGGUGCUUAAGAGUGCAAGGCAUCUUGUUCCACAUAUUCGGUUAGCACAAAUUUUUAGAAGUCAGCCUCAUGAAAGAUAAAUCAAAAGAAACAGCAGGAACCACUUACGUUAAUUGUCAAGAACUCACACUUCCCAACAUCUUCCACAUCCCACCACCAGCAUUCGCAGGUUGAUGGAAGACGUUACGAGCCCACCUCAUGUAAUGUGGGCCACAAAGCCGACAACCCUCAUCUGACAAAGCAAUGCCCCAAGACAAUCUGUACAAAAGGGAUCAAUGCCAUCAUGUAACCGUGCCAUAAAAAAGAUCUUCCAACUUGACUCAUUCAAACCCUGCGAUUCCAUAUAUCCUUGUAAUCAACCAGGUGUCAGACAACGACAUCACAGCCAGCACGCGCAAUAAAAAGUAGGCCACAACUAUAUUCCAAGCAUAAUCGAGUAGCUGACAAAUGCAAACCAACGAACUUACCCCAAACGGCUUACUACGGCAGUACCCUGAAACCGUCAAAUUUUCCAAGGAAACUAUAACAAAGAAAUGUGUGUAUUUAUAUGAAUGCUCCACAGGCUUGAAAUUUUCAAACUACAUUGUACAUAGGACCAACCAGCAAAACUAAGGAUCAAUGUGUCUUCCUAAACCAACUAGAAGUACAUCGAGGAUUCCUUCCAACAAGAAGACCUACUGCAACUGAUCAAGCUCAACAAUGUCUGCACCACAUAUCACUUCCACCUCCUCCGUCUCCUACUCUCCAUUACCCAUCCCCCCUUCCACCCUCCAUUCCAAUCAUCACCAUCCACAUCCACAACUCUCUGCACGCCAAAAUGUAAUUCUCCAAUAAAUAUAACCAUAGCACCACCUCGUCCCUAAAUCUGUUCAGAAUCUAGUGAUUACCGUAUCUCUCUCCAUGGUGCACAUCUUAACCAUGUAGUCUCCACUACUUUACUACACAACAGAGUUCUGAAAAAAUCAAGUGGUAUCGGACAUUCCAAUUCCUACGCAACCAAAAUAAACACAGAAGACCGCCUCCUACCCACUGCUUCCUCUAACUCUCGGCCCUCCCCCUCCUCCCCUACCCCUUCUCCUACACCACACCUACUGGCAGGUCACUCCAUUCCCAUCCGACCACUCGAUCGGCUCCUCGCCGCCUGUGGCUCCACAUUUCUGGACCAUGGUCAUGCAGCCAAAAUCCUGCCGCCUUUACUUUAACACUAGGUCGACACGCCUGCGCCCAUCCCAACACAAUCCCAUCGUCAGCCCCGCAACACAAAUCCCGCCACAAAUCACCCUCCCACCACCACUUCCUUCACGCAUCGCACGCACCUACUACCCGCCCCACAUCUCUACCCAUCAUGCGCUACCUCGACACCGCUCUUACCACUACUCUCCACCAUCU
RNAcentral lists this long non-coding RNA (31562 nucleotides) under Physcomitrium patens. Its description in RNAcentral is "long non-coding RNA (PPAT_LNC000703)". Lineage: Eukaryota; Viridiplantae; Streptophyta; Bryopsida; Funariales; Funariaceae. The record is from RNAcentral.